RNAcentral lists this ribosomal RNA (253 nucleotides) under uncultured bacterium. Its description in RNAcentral is "partial 16S ribosomal RNA". It matches the Rfam family "Bacterial small subunit ribosomal RNA", at positions 524 to 776 of the family's 1533-position model. The record is from RNAcentral.
UACGGAGGGGGCUAGCGUUGUUCGGAAUUACUGGGCGUAAAGCGCGCGUAGGCGGACCUGCAAGUCGGGGGUGAAAGCCCGAGGCUCAACCUCGGAACUGCCUUCGAUACUGCGGGUCUCGAGUCCCGGAGAGGUUGGUGGAACUCUCGGUGUAGAGGUGAAAUUCGUAGAUAUCGAGAAGAACACCGGUGGCGAAGGCGGCCAACUGGACGGUGACUGACACUGAGACGCGAAAGCGUGGGGAGCAAACAGG